GCCCCCGUAGCUCAGGCGGAUAGAGCACGGGAUUCCUAAUCCCGGUGUCGGAGGUUCGAGUCCUCCCGGGGGCG
This 74-nucleotide transfer RNA is filed under the name Thermosulfurimonas marina. It matches the Rfam family "tRNA". Rfam says of the family: Transfer RNA (tRNA) molecules are approximately 80 nucleotides in length. Lineage: Bacteria; Pseudomonadati; Thermodesulfobacteriota; Thermodesulfobacteria; Thermodesulfobacteriales; Thermodesulfobacteriaceae. The record is from Rfam by way of RNAcentral.